GUCAUUGUAGCAAUACAAGGCAGACGGCUCAGUAACACGUAGCCUAUCUAACCUAUGGACGGGGAUAACCACGGGAAACUGAGGAUAAACCCCGAUAGAUCAUUAUGCCUGGAACGGUUUAUGGUCCGAAUGAUUCGUCGCCGUAGGAUGAGACUGCGGCCUAUCAGCUUGUUGGUGAGGUAAUGGCCCACCAAGGCUAUUACAGGUCCGGGCUCUGAGAGGAGAAGCCCGGAGAUGGGUACUGAGACACGGACCCAGGCCCUAUGGGGCGCAGCAGGCGAGAAACCCUUGCAAUGUGCGCAAGCACGACAAGGUUAAUCCGAGUGAUUCCUGCUAAAGGAAUCUUUUGUUAGUCUUAAAAUCACUAUCGAAUAAGGGGUGGGCAAGUUCUGGUGUCAGCCGCCGCGGUAAAACCAGCACCUCAAGUGGUCAGGAGGAUUAUUGGGCCUAAAGCAUCCGUAGCCUGCUCUGUAAGUUUCCGGUUAAAUCCAUUAGCUCAACUAAUGGCCUGCCGGAAAUACUGCAGAGCUAGGAAGUGGGAGAGGUAGACGGUACUCGGUAGGAAGGGGUAAAAUCCUUUGAUCUAUUGAUGACCACCUGUGGCGAAGGCGGUCUACCAGAACACGUUCGACGGUGAGGGAUGAAAGCUGGGGGAGCAAACCGGAUUAGAUACCCGGGUAGUCCCAGCUGUAAACGAUGCAGACUCGGUGAUGCCCUGGCUUGUGGCCAGUGCAGUGCCGCAGGGAAGCCGUUAAGUUUGCCGACUGGGAAGUACGUACGCAAGUAUGAAACUUAAAGGAAUUGGCGGGGGAGCACCACAAGGGGUGAAGCCUGCGGUUC
Molecule: ribosomal RNA, 840 nt
Filed under: uncultured archaeon
Lineage: Archaea
Description: bacterial SSU rRNA
Rfam family: Archaeal small subunit ribosomal RNA
Source: RNAcentral